RNAcentral lists this ribosomal RNA (504 nucleotides) under uncultured bacterium. Its description in RNAcentral is "bacterial SSU rRNA". It matches the Rfam family "Bacterial small subunit ribosomal RNA", at positions 21 to 518 of the family's 1533-position model. The record is from RNAcentral.
GGCUCAGGAUGAACGCUAGCGGCAGGCUUAACACAUGCAAGUCGAGGGGCAUCGGGAGUAGCAAUACUGCCGGCGACCGGCGCAAGGGUGCGUAACGCGUGAGCAACAUGCCCGUAUCAGGGGGAUAAUCCAUGGAAACGUGGUCUAAUACCCCAUAGUAAUUAUGUAAGGCAUCUUAUAUAAUUUAAAGCUUUGGUGGAUACGGAUUGGCUCGCGUGACAUUAGCUGGAUGGUAAGGUAACGGCUUACCAUGGCUACGAUGUCUAGGGGUUCUGAGAGGAAGGUCCCCCCACACUGGAACUGAGACACGGUCCAGACUCCUACGGGAGGCAGCAGUGAGGAAUAUUGGACAAUGGAUGGAAAUCUGAUCCAGCCAUGCCGCGUGCAGGGAAAGACGGCCCUAUGGGUUGUAAACUGCUUUUGUAUGGGAGCAAUAAGGGCUACGUGUAGUCCGAUGAGAGUACCAUACGAAUAAGCACCGGCUAACUCCGUGCCAGCCGCUGC